This 518-nucleotide ribosomal RNA is filed under the name uncultured archaeon. Its description in RNAcentral is "bacterial SSU rRNA". It matches the Rfam family "Archaeal small subunit ribosomal RNA", at positions 912 to 1429 of the family's 1478-position model. The record is from RNAcentral.
UCAACGCCGGAAAACUCACCUGGGGCGACAGCAAUAUGUAGGUCAGGCUGAAGGUCUUACCUGAAUCGCUGAGAGGAGGUGCAUGGCCGUCGUCAGUUCGUACUGUGAAGCAUCCUGUUAAGUCAGGCAACGAGCGAGACCCGUGCCCACUGUUGCCAGCAUAUCCUUCGGGAUGAUGGGUACUCUGUGGGGACCGCUGGUGCUAAACCAGAGGAAGGUGCGGGCUACGGUAGGUCAGUAUGCCCCGAAUCUCCAGGGCUACACGCGGGCUGCAAUGACCGGGACAAUGGGCUCCUACCCCGAAAGGGGUUGGUAAUCUCAUAAACCCGGCCGUAGUUCGGAUCGAGGGCUGCAACUCGCCCUCGUGAAGCUGGAAUCCGUAGUAAUCGCGUUUCAAUAUAGCGCGGUGAAUACGUCCCUGCUCCUUGCACACACCGCCCGUCAAACCACCCGAGUGAGGUAUGGGUGAGGGCACGAACCUUGUGUCGUGUUCGAACCUAAAUUUCGCAAGGGGGGUU